Molecule: ribosomal RNA, 447 nt
Filed under: uncultured bacterium
Lineage: Bacteria
Description: partial 16S ribosomal RNA
Rfam family: Bacterial small subunit ribosomal RNA
Source: RNAcentral
AACGAACGCUGGCGGCAGGCUUAACACAUGCAAGUCGAGCGCCCCGCAAGGGGAGCGGCAGACGGGUGAGUAACGCGUGGGAAUCUACCCAUCCCUACGGAAUAGCUCCGGGAAACUGGAAUUAAUACCGUAUACGCCCUACGGGGGAAAGAUUUAUCGGGGAUGGAUGAGCCCGCGUUGGAUUAGCUAGUUGGUGGGGUAAAGGCCUACCAAGGCGACGAUCCAUAGCUGGUCUGAGAGGAUGAUCAGCCACAUUGGGACUGAGACACGGCCCAACGUCCUACGGGAGGCAGAAGUGUGGAAUAUUGGACAAUGGGGGCAACCCUGAUCCAGCCAUGCUGAGUGAGUGAUGAAGGCCUUAGGGUUGUAAAGCUCUUUCACCGGGGAAGAUAAUGACGGUACCCGGAGAAGAAGCCCCGGCUAACUUCGUGCCAGCCGCCGCCGUAA